UNGCAGUGGCGCUUGCCGAAAACCUUCAGG
RNAcentral lists this non-coding RNA (30 nucleotides) under Mus musculus (house mouse). Lineage: Eukaryota; Metazoa; Chordata; Mammalia; Rodentia; Muridae. The record is from RNAcentral.